RNAcentral lists this transfer RNA (73 nucleotides) under Camelus bactrianus (Bactrian camel). It matches the Rfam family "tRNA". Rfam says of the family: Transfer RNA (tRNA) molecules are approximately 80 nucleotides in length. Their secondary structure includes four short double-helical elements and three loops (D, anti-codon, and T loops). Lineage: Eukaryota; Metazoa; Chordata; Mammalia; Artiodactyla; Camelidae. RNAcentral also lists the same sequence under 1 other name. The record is from Rfam by way of RNAcentral.
GAGGGUUUAGCUCAAGCGGUAGAGUGGAUGCUUAGCAAGCAUGAAGUCCUAGGUUCAAUCCCUGGUACCUCCU